Molecule: ribosomal RNA, 439 nt
Filed under: uncultured bacterium
Lineage: Bacteria
Description: partial 16S ribosomal RNA
Rfam family: Bacterial small subunit ribosomal RNA
Source: RNAcentral
CCUACGGGAGGCAGCAGUGGGGAAUAUUGCACAAUGGGGGAAACCCUGAUGCAGCGACGCCGCGUGAGCGAAGAAGUAUUUCGGUAUGUAAAGCUCUAUCAGCAGGGAAGAAAAUGACGGUACCUGAGUAAGAAGCUCCGGCUAAAUACGUGCCAGCAGCCGCGGUAAUACGUAUGGAGCAAGCGUUAUCCGGAUUUAUUGGGUUUAAAGGGUGCGUAGGCGGAAUAUCAAGUCAGCGGUAAAAAUUCGGGGCUCAACCCCGUCGUGCCGUUGAAACUGAUGUUCUUGAGUGGGCGAGAAGUAUGCGGAAUGCGUGGUGUAGCGGUGAAAUGCAUAGAUAUCACGCAGAACUCCGAUUGCGAAGGCAGCAUACCGGCGCCCAACUGACGCUGAAGCACGAAAGCGUGGGUAUCGAACAGGAUUAGAUACCCCUGUAGUC